This 401-nucleotide long non-coding RNA is filed under the name Homo sapiens (human). RNAcentral describes it as "HSALNT0220285". The record is from RNAcentral. Lineage: Eukaryota; Metazoa; Chordata; Mammalia; Primates; Hominidae.
AAAGUCCUUUUAUUUACAUGGUGGCAAUUAAUAGCAUAGGCUCUGGCAUCAAGCUGCCUGAAAUCAAAUCCUACUAUUAGCUUCAUGAGUUUUUGACUAAAUUUCUUAAGCUGUCUAUGCCUCAGUUUUUCUCUGUAGAGUGAGGGUAGUAAUAGUACCUACCUCAGAGAGUUACUGUGAAACUAAAAUGUAGUUUGUGGGUGGGAAGUGCUUAGUACAGGCCUUUGCACAUACUUUGUGUCCAGCCAAUGAAAUUGUUGGUAGUAGCUGUGGUACUAGCAGAUCCUAGCAAGAAAAUGUUUGCAAAUAACAGGAAAGCACACAUUGAAGGGAAAUAGAUCAGUAUUAUGUCAAUUAUGUAUAUGGUGUUAAAGCAUAUAAUGUACUCUGAAAAAAGUGGC